GAUGAACGCUGGCGGCGUGCCUAAUACAUGCAAGUCGAGCGAACGGACGAGAAGCUUGCUUCUCUGAUGUUAGCGGAGGACGGGUGAGUAACACGUGGAUAACCUACCUAUAAGACUGGGAUAACUUCGGGAAACCGGAGCUAAUACCGGAUAAUAUUUUGAACCGCAUGGUUCAAAAGUGAAAGACGGUCUUGCUGUCACUUAUAGAUGGAUCCGCGCUGCAUUAGCUAGUUGGUAAGGUAACGGCUUACCAAGGCAACGAUGCAUAGCCGACCUGAGAGGGUGAUCGGCCACACUGGAACUGAGACACGGUCCAGACUCCUACGGGAGGCAGCAGUAGGGAAUCUUCCGCAAUGGGCGAAAGCCUGACGGAGCAACGCCGCGUGAGUGAUGAAGGUCUUCGGAUCGUAAAACUCUGUUAUUAGGGAAGAACAUAUGUGUAAGUAACUGUGCACAUCUUGACGGUACCUAAUCAGAAAGCCACGGCUAACUACGUG
RNAcentral lists this ribosomal RNA (497 nucleotides) under uncultured bacterium. Its description in RNAcentral is "partial 16S ribosomal RNA". It matches the Rfam family "Bacterial small subunit ribosomal RNA", at positions 28 to 507 of the family's 1533-position model. The record is from RNAcentral.